ACACACACACACACACACACACACACAAGAAAUGAGGUCAAAGAAAUUUCAGUAAAUACAUCAAAACCAAUUAAAAUCAAGACUGAGUGCUUAAAGUACCUGUGAUUUGUAUUUUGUAGCUCCUUGAGACACUAAAAUAUCAACUAUAAGAAGGUCAAACUAAACUAGUUAUUUCCACUCCCUCAUCAUAAAUGUGGAGCACAGCUUGUUAACUUCUGCUCCAAGUGUACCUUGUAUAUAUGAUCCCCAUGAGCAAAUGGCAUGUCAACUCCAUUGCUCCACAAAUGUUUCCCCUGACUGUCUUGACUUUGACAACCAGAAAAAAUUGGAGAGCAGCAACAAAGAAAUUGGAUUCUUUCUUUCUUAAAGCUUAAUAACCGUCUUUUGGCUCCUAGACCAAUCAAUAAAAUUGAAUACUUUAUACAAAACAUGGAUAUCCCUAUAGCUCUAGCCUGAAGAUGUUAGGGUGGGUAUAGCGUGGGGAACAAGCACUGCUUCACUACCUGCAGCUUUUCUUGCAGCAAUCUCUUCUAAGUGCUUCCAUGUGGCUUCGUGUUUCACCUUCAUAUCUUCUGCCCUUGCUUCAUCUUCUUGAAAUUGCUUUAAGCACUCUUCAAACAGCUCAGGAUCAACAUCAGCAAAGAUCUUGCGAACAUUAACAGUUAAGCUCUGCACCACCUGAUUCCAGUGAUUACUUCCAUUCUUUUCCAAGGCAGGGAAGAUGAUGGGCAGUAUAACUUUUCGGUUCUGUCUGAUUAAGUUCUCAAUAUGAUCAUUGUUCCACAAGUACAAAGCCCUUUCUGCCACCUGGAAGUGUGAACUGCUCAAGCAACGAGCUAUCUGUCGGAACAGGGGAACAACACAUCUUUGAAAUUCUGCUGGCUGGGUUGCUUCUAAGACUUCCUCCAGCUCACUUAGGAACAUUACCUCCUUUGAACUAUUAGUGAUAGGCCAAUACUUCAAUAAAGCCCUUAUAACAGUAUCUACAAGUUUGCAGUCUUUUUCCACAAACUGUGUAAUGCAGUAUGAUAACUGCUGAUGGUACAUAGGUAAGCACCUUGGCUUGUGAAGGGGGAUUAGUGCCCGAACAAGGAACAAUUUAUGUUCUUCUUUUAGCGGCAGAGCAAAUCCA
This 1132-nucleotide unclassified non-coding RNA is filed under the name Hevea brasiliensis (rubber tree). The record is from RNAcentral. Lineage: Eukaryota; Viridiplantae; Streptophyta; Magnoliopsida; Malpighiales; Euphorbiaceae.